Molecule: ribosomal RNA, 402 nt
Filed under: Triticum aestivum (bread wheat)
Lineage: Eukaryota; Viridiplantae; Streptophyta; Magnoliopsida; Poales; Poaceae
Description: partial small subunit ribosomal RNA
Source: RNAcentral
UGGUUUGUUCCCUGAACAAGCCCUCUGGUAUGCAUGCAGAUGGUCAAUCUAAUCUAAAGAAAGAAAAGCAACAAAAAGGAAACCAUGUUUACCCAGGAGCGGAGGUAAUUAAUUAAGCAACCAGCUAGUUACUUACUACUAACCUCUGAAGCUUCUUCAGAUCCUAUCCCCUGCCCGGUCCGUCCGUCCGGCCGGCAGAGUUGGUGCGAGCUCGAUUGCUUGCUCCGGCCUGCUCAAGAAGAAGAAGAAGAAGAAGAAGAAGAAGAAGAUGAAGAGUCGAUUACUUCUGGGAGAGCUCGCUGAGAGGAGGAAGAGGGCGAGAAGGAAGGAAGGUUCAGAAGCGGAGAAAAGCAAGAGGAAGAGAAGAAACAGAGGUGGAAGAAAUCCCCAAGCUUUGCUUUU